UAGUUGGUGGGGUAAAGGCCUACCAAGGCGACGAUCAGUAGCGGGUCUGAGAGGAUGAUCCGCCACACUGGAACUGAGACACGGUCCAGACUCCUACGGGAGGCAGCAGUGGGGAAUUUUGGACAAUGGGGGCAACCCUGAUCCAGCCAUUCCGCGUGAGUGAAGAAGGCCUUCGGGUUGUAAAGCUCUUUCAGCUGGAACGAAACGGUACGCUCUAACAUAGCGUGCUAAUGACGGUACCAGCAGAAGAAGCACCGGCUAACUACGUGCCAGCAGCCGCGGUAAUACGUAGGGUGCGAGCGUUAAUCGGAAUUACUGGGCGUAAAGCGUGCGCAGGCGGAUUGUUAAGCAAGACGUGAAAUCCCCGGGCUUAACCUGGGAAUGGCGUUUUGAACUGGCAGUCUAGAGUGUGUCAGAGGGGGGUAGAAUUCCACGUGUAGCAGUGAAAUGCGUAGAGAUGUGGAGGAGUACCAAUGGCGAAGGCAGCCCCCUGGGAUAACACUGACGCUCAUGUACGAAAGCGUGGGUAGCAAACAGGAUUAGAUACCCUGGUAGUCCACGCCCUAAACGAUGUCAACUGGUUGUUGGGGGAGUGAAAUCCCUUAGUAACGAAGCUAACGCGUGAAGUUGACCGCCUGGGGAGUACGGUCGCAAGAUUAAAACUCAAAGGAAUUGACGGGGACCCGCACAAGCGGUGGAUGAUGUGGAUUAAUUCGAUGCAACGCGAAAAACCUUACCUACCCUUGACAUGUCCAGAAUCCUGCAGAGAUGCGGGAGUGCCCGAAAGGGAAUUGGAACACAGGUGCUGCAUGGCUGUCGUCAGCUCGUGUCGUGAGAUGUUGGGUUAAGUCCCGCAACGAGCGCAACCCUUAUCAUUAGUUGCUACGCAAGGGCACUCUAAUGAGACUGCCGG
This 913-nucleotide ribosomal RNA is filed under the name uncultured bacterium. Its description in RNAcentral is "bacterial SSU rRNA". It matches the Rfam family "Bacterial small subunit ribosomal RNA", at positions 246 to 1155 of the family's 1533-position model. The record is from RNAcentral.